This 86-nucleotide ribosomal RNA is filed under the name Shewanella vaxholmensis. RNAcentral describes it as "partial 16S ribosomal RNA". It matches the Rfam family "Bacterial small subunit ribosomal RNA", at positions 1 to 85 of the family's 1533-position model. Lineage: Bacteria; Pseudomonadati; Pseudomonadota; Gammaproteobacteria; Alteromonadales; Shewanellaceae. RNAcentral also lists the same sequence under 2 other names. The record is from RNAcentral.
UAAUUGAAGAGUUUGAUCAUGGCUCAGAUUGAACGCUGGCGGCAGGCCUAACACAUGCAAGUCGAGCGGCAGCGGGAAGAUAGUUU